Molecule: ribosomal RNA, 228 nt
Filed under: uncultured bacterium
Lineage: Bacteria
Description: partial 16S ribosomal RNA
Rfam family: Bacterial small subunit ribosomal RNA
Source: RNAcentral
CUGAACCAGCCAAGUAGCGUGCAGGAUGACGGCCCUACGGGUUGUAAACUUCUUUUGUGCGGGAAUAAAGGAACCUACGUGUAGGUUUUUGCAUGUACCGUAACGAAUAAGCAUCGGCUAACUCCGUGCCAGCAGCCGCGGUAAUACGGAGGAUGCGAGCGUUAUCCGGAUUUAUUGGGUUUAAAGGGAGCGUAGAUGGAUGUUUAAGUCAGUUGUGAAAGUUUGCGG